AGGUACAGUAUGUCAGGAUUCUGUGAAGGAAUUAAGCUGCAACAUACAACCACCAGAGGGCAUGCAAGUUCCAAUUUUCAGUACAUGCACGUAGGCAAUAGUCGCUCUGGGUUUGUGGGUGAAAGCGCCUUGCCAGCGGAAAUGCCCGGUGACAGCGGGCAAAGGGAGAAACUGGAGCUCUCGACGGUAAAUACUUUGCUUCACCCUGUGUUUUAGCUGGACACGUAAUUUCCCAUUUUCACUACUGUAGUAUACGUACGAUGUAUGUUAAUUGAAAUUAGGAGAUUAGUGAUUCCAAGAAUGUACGGCAGCCGGACGAAUUCCUUCACUUUCAUGACUGAAACGUGUAGCUGAAUUUAGCCUACAUCAUUGAAUAGUGAAUACUGUGAGGCUUGUGUUUAUUCCGGGUAUGAUUAUUGUUCUUUUUCUUAUGAUCUACCCAUGUACAUUUUAUAAUCCGCAGAGUACAGUCAACGAUAUUUGAAUUUGUAGAAAUAGCAUAGGCUACACAGAAUGCGGUAGGCUUUCCUGUUUGACUUGGUUAAGCUACUGCCGUUGCUCGGGCGACGGAGAUGAAUGUCUUGUUGUAGAAGUGAUCUUAUCUAAAUGUGUAGACCUUUAAAACUGAAGUUUCGUGUAGCCAACUUGAUUUUUCUACUGGAGAUAGUUGUUCUUGCGGCUUGUUCGUAUGUACGUUGGUAGGUGGGCUAGGUUGGUAGGAGUAUGUGUGUUUAUACGUCUAUGCGUUCAUUUUCGUGUGGGGGAAUUUUUAAAUUCAGGUGUGAGUAUAAAUCCUUUUUCUGUGACUCACCAAACAACUGUUUGAAAUAAUAUGCCAAUUACAAGUACACAAAAAUAAAUGUGUAACUAGCGUCCUACAAGUAGCCUAAAUGGCCCUGUUUUAGUUUUGUGUAAACCUGAUUCAGAGUUGUCUGUUUCGUAUGCUAGUAGGCCUAGUGGUCUGCAAUUUUCUAAAAGCCUGCAAUAUAAUGUAUGUCAAACCCCACUUUCUGUAGGCUAAAUGCGUGUUUGUUACUGUGUUGGGGACGAGGGUGACGUGUACUUGGUAAAUUCUAUUGUGAGUCUUGUUACAGGUUGCUGUUAUGGUGUGUAUGCAGGUGGCGCUAUAUAGCCUCCAACUGACUGCUCUGGGACUGUCUGCAGUUGUUCCCAAAGAACGGAUUCAAGUAUUUUGUUUCGUGCGCAUUUUCAACCCAUCGAAUCAGCUGCAACGCCGCACCGUCUACCAGACUCAGGUUUUAUUAACUCCCUAGCACGAGACGGCUGCCGUGGCGCGAAUGCCUGAUACAGGUCUUUGGAGCUCCGAGGGGUCCUGCGCCAGAGAAAAGCUCUGGCUUUAUGAACCUUCCCAAGGGAGAAGUCUCAGAUGACCCGCGUGAACGCCACUCGGGCGAACUUCUUGAAAGAGAUUCACGAGUUCAUGCCAUUUGUGUUGGGAAUUAGAACCAAAGAUCUUUUUAUUUCUUUUUAGAUUCUGUCGCUGUGACACCCACUUGAGGUGUUGGAUUGGAGAUGGAUACUGGACGGAAAGUUCCCAAUUUAGUCUAUGGGCUUUUAAAAGUCAUUCAUUUCGAUCAACAUUUGUCCUUAACUAACUAACAAUAAAAAUAAAAAAAAACAAUUUCUUCACAUUUUUACGAGUUCAGUCAUUACUUAAACUAAAUCGCCAAACCAAGUUAGUAAAGAAAAAGUGUCAUACUUGUAUUUACUUGUAUGUCAAAUUUAAAGAUAAAGGUUGAUUGUAUACAGGUCUAGGUAUCUCUGUUAGAAAGUUAUACUGGUGAUUAACCAUCUUUUUAGCAUGUGCGCAAACUGUCCAUAGGUACAGUAUCAAGGAAAGCUGCAGCCCCAUCUCGGCUUCAACCCAUGUACCUUUGUAGUGUAUAAGUAACUAGAGAUUGCAUCCAAACGGUGAAACCCUCUUCUAAACAUAAUAACAUCUGUUUGGUAGUGAAUAACAUGUGAGUCCCAUCCUAUUGUACGGUUUUCUACGUGCCAGCUGAUUGCUGUGUGUGGAAUCGUAAAGACAAAAUGUGUAUUCUGUGUUUGAGAAAAAAUAAAAUAUGAUUCAUUUUA
This is a long non-coding RNA of Anguilla rostrata (American eel), 2097 nucleotides long. RefSeq lists it as uncharacterized. The transcript is spliced from 3 exons. Lineage: Eukaryota; Metazoa; Chordata; Actinopteri; Anguilliformes; Anguillidae. The record is from RefSeq and is a predicted model, not a curated record.